AUGGUAAUGAGGUGGGCUGUUCUUUGUGGCAAUGAGGUGGGCGGGGCUUAUAUGGUAAUUGUCUGUAUGCUAAUGAAGGUGGGCGUGGUUUGUAUGGUAAUGAGGCGGGCGUGGCUUGAUGGAGUGUGGCACGUGGCAGCUCUUGGCCUAUGGGGCUCGGCCCAGUUCAUCCCAGUCCAUCCCAGUUCCAUCCCAGUUUAUCCCAGUUCAUCCCAGUUUAUCCCAGUUUAUCCCAGUCCCAUCCCAGUCCAUCCCAGUUCAUCCCAGUUUAUCCCAGUGCCACUCUAUUGCCUUCCCAGUCCAUCCCAGUCCAUCCCAGUCCAUCCCAGUCCAUCCCAGUCCCAUACUGGUCCCAUCCCAUUCCAUCCCAUUCCAUCCCAGUCCCUCCCAUUCCAUCCCAGUCCAUCCCAUUCCAUCCCAGUCCAUCCCAUUCCAUCCCAGUUUGAUCCCAUUCCAUCCCAUUCCAUCCCAGUCCCAUACUGGUCCCAUACUGGUCCCAUACUGGUCCCAUCCCAGUCCCAAUCUCCAUCUCUCUCUUAUUUCUUUCCCAGUUCCUCCCAGUCCCCGUGUCACCCGACUGGCAGCGGCGUCAGACAUGGAGUAUGAACGAAGG
RNAcentral lists this long non-coding RNA (613 nucleotides) under Coturnix japonica (Japanese quail). Its description in RNAcentral is "lncRNA (ENSCJPG00005002830.1)". The record is from RNAcentral. Lineage: Eukaryota; Metazoa; Chordata; Aves; Galliformes; Phasianidae.